CGAAAAAUGGCGAGAUUUCUUUAAUACUUCAUUACAGAUUGUAUAAAAGAAUAAACAUCUGGUGGUAGUCGCUGAGAUAGAAAGGUGGACCAGUGUUUAUUUAAAAAUAGAAGAAAAUACAGUACUUCAAUACACCUGGAGUCAAUCUGGAGUAAGGAAGAAAACCAGUGUACUGCGUAUUAGCUGGAGGGAGCAGGCAUGAAAAGAAUAGGAAGAUUAUGACACGAAUGUUGGAAUACGAAAAGAUGAAUUCAUGCUAAAUGCAUUUUCUCCCAGUGGAAACAUUUCCAGGUCGACAGUAAGCAGGAGGUCCAUAUAUGAAGGAAAUGGAAAGAAAAUUCCUUGGGCAUGAUUCUGCCUUUCUUAUAAAUACGAAUGGAAUUGUGAUGUGAAUUUGUUUUUACUUUCUUUGGUUGUAUGUCUCCAUCUGGUCGGCUGAGCAUCCGGAUCCCAUGCCUCAUCAAGUUUUGUUUCAUGUUAUCUCAUUAACUCCAACCGCACUUCCCCCUUUGUUAACUUGAUUACAUCUCAACAGUAAGUGCGUGUCCAAAAUU
Molecule: long non-coding RNA, 554 nt
Organism: Stegodyphus dumicola
Lineage: Eukaryota; Metazoa; Arthropoda; Arachnida; Araneae; Eresidae
Source: RefSeq, a predicted model, not a curated record